RNAcentral lists this unclassified non-coding RNA (841 nucleotides) under Hevea brasiliensis (rubber tree). Lineage: Eukaryota; Viridiplantae; Streptophyta; Magnoliopsida; Malpighiales; Euphorbiaceae. The record is from RNAcentral.
AAAAAUUAAAAAAAAAAAAACUAGUCUAAUUAGAACAUAGAUGAAUCAGAUGGAGAAGGAUUAUUCACUAAGUUAAAAAUGCUAUUCCAGUAAUUCUUGUUAUCUUCACUGUUCUCAUUUGGAUUUCCACUGCCACUACCUUCCCCUCCGUUAUCGGAUUCCGUGCCACCGCCUUCCGAUAAAUCGCCGUCGCCGGAAUUGCUAAGCAAUAGAUCUGUAAAUGUUUCCACAAAAUUGGCAGGGGAAAUUUGCUCUGUAUUUGACCUUGAGGAUUCUGUUGUCCAUGUUGUGUCCAUUGGUAGAGUUAAAUCUUGUAGUCCUGACGUGAAUGAAAUUGAAUUUUCAUUAAUAACAUCUUUACUGUAUUGAGGCAAAUGUCCAGUUGAUGAGUUCCCAAAUUCCUUCCAAUCUUCUUCACUUUCAUCAUUGUUCAUAAUUCCACCUUCACUAGACCCUGAUGAAUUUCCAACAAAUUCAUACAAAACUGUAUUAGAACUUCCUCCAAUUCCUGAUGAUGUAAUAUGUUGCGCAUUUUCGAAAUAGCCUAGUGUAGAAGUAGGAGAUUCCAAAUCCCUCGCGAGUGCUCCCGCAACUGAAAUACCAGCACUAGCGCUCGCGACGGAACCUUCAUUCAUUGGUUUGGUCCAAACACCGUUCCAGGCUUUCAGCACGUUGAGACAACAUGCUGGGGCCACAACGGGUUUACUAAGAGGACUAGAAGGUGAAGGAGCGGUAAAUUCUUGAGAUGCGAGUGAAUUUUGGAAACUAUUGGACCGGAGUUUAGAUUGUCUAGCGAGUCUAGCUUCGGCUUCAAGCCGGGCACUUUCCCACUGAGCCAUGU